AUUGAACGCUGGCGGCAUGCCUUACACAUGCAAGUCGAACGGCAGCACGGGUGCUUGCACCUGGUGGCGAGUGGCGAACGGGUGAGUAAUACAUCGGAACGUACCUUAUCGUGGGGGAUAACGCAGCGAAAGCUGUGCUAAUACCGCAUACGCCCUGAGGGGGAAAGCGGGGGAUCGCAAGACCUCGCGCGAUUAGAGCGGCCGAUGCCUGAUUAGCUUGUUGGUGGGGUAAAAGCCCACCAAGGAGACGAUCAGUAGCUGGUCUGAGAGGACGGUCAGCCACACUGGGACUGAGACACGGCCCAGACUCCUACGGGAGGCAGCAGUGGGGAAUUUUGGACAAUGGGGGCAACCCUGAUCCAGCAAUGCCGCGUGAGUGAAGAAGGCCUUCGGGUUGUAAAGCUCUUUUGUCAGGGAAGAAACACCGGCUCUAACACAGUCUGGGAAUGACGGUACCUGAAGAAUAAGCACCGGCUAACUACGUGCCAGCCGCCGCGGUAA
RNAcentral lists this ribosomal RNA (501 nucleotides) under uncultured bacterium. Its description in RNAcentral is "partial 16S ribosomal RNA". It matches the Rfam family "Bacterial small subunit ribosomal RNA", at positions 29 to 523 of the family's 1533-position model. The record is from RNAcentral.